GUACUCACUGAGGCAACACAGGUACUAAAAUUGGAAUGAUACAGAGAUGGGUAGCAUGGCCCCUGAGUAAGGACUACAGGCGUAUUUAUGAAAUAUUCUAUAUUAAA
Molecule: small nuclear RNA, 107 nt
Organism: Bos grunniens (domestic yak)
Lineage: Eukaryota; Metazoa; Chordata; Mammalia; Artiodactyla; Bovidae
Source: Ensembl